CCACAUGAAACUACCAGAAAUUCAACAAAGGCAAUGCGUUCCCAGGUUAUGUAGUCCAUUGCUCCUGAAUCUACAAUCCACAAGGAUUAGAUUAAGUUAUAAAAAUAAAACUAGAAACACAAAGUUCACUAAUUCGAGCAUUGAGGCUUAGAGCAAUCUCUAGCAUAGCGACCCUUUUUGUCACAAUAUAGCAUUUCACUUUAGCAUCUUUGACAUGUUUGGGACCUUUGUUUUUGUGUUUUUUAGUCUUUUCUCUUUUAGUAGAUUGAGCUUGAUGUGGACCUCUCUUCUUUCCGCAGUUCCUUUUCAUUGAAUCACUCUUGGUUUAGGAGGUUCUUGCCAUGUACAACUCAGCUAUUGGCUUUGCAACCUCAUGUCGUCCCUCCUCUAACUCAAUAUGCCUCCAGACAUCUUCCAAAGUUAUGAUUCACUCAUUAUGGGCCAACUGGAUAUACAUGAUCUUAAGAACUAGGUAAAGGGUGUAUGAUAGCUUCGAUUUGUUGUUCAGCAGUCAGCACAUGACCAUUAUCAUUCAAAUCCCCAAUCAUAUUUGGCAUUUGCUUUAGAUGUAUUUUCAUUAGAAUGUUUUGGGUGUUUCUUAUAUGAAUAAAAUUUUAUCUUUAAAGAUCACAACGUUAUAGUUGAACAAGUACCAAACCUCCUCCUCAAAGCACUCCAAAUACAUAUAGCUCUUUGGUGAUCCUUAAACUCUCUUAGGAUGUCAUCAUCUAAGGUGCUCAAUAACGUAAUACGAGUAAUGAAGUUCUUUUUCUUCCAACUAUCAUAGGCUUCACGCUCACGCCAAUACUGAGCAGUGUUUCAUUCCUCGGGUUCAUUUACGACAUUGUUAAUGGCGUCCAGACCCUCUUGCUCCUCUAGCAUAUACUGGACUUUCAAGCUCAAAGUUAAUAGUUAUCGCCAUUGAGUUUCAACCUUUUGUUGAGCUCAACAACAAUGUUAUUCGAAGUUGUAGUCUAUCUUCAACAAAAUAAAAAAAUAUCAUGAGGUUCAUAUAAAAAAAAUGCGAGGCACGAUAGUCACACCUCCUUUUUAUCUCUACACCCCGCGAAGGGCGCAGAAAAGAGAGUUUUUCAAAUUAAAGGACAAUGGGAAGGGGAUUUAUUUAUUUAAAGAUUUCAGAGUCUCCACUUGGGAUAAUUAAUAGUGUCCCAAGUCAUCGAUUUAAAUCCCGAAUCGAGGAAGUUUGACUCUGUAAUACAGUUUUCGACCCAGAAAUCCAGGUAAGGAAUUUUGUUAACCGUAGAGAAGGUGUUAGGCAUUCUCGAGUUCCGUGGUUCUAGCACGGUUGAUCAACUAUUAUAUUCGGCUUAAUUAUCUGAUUUUAGUACAUUUUUGAACCUAUGUGCAUUUUAAAACUUUUAACUGUUUUUUUCAUUUUUGAAGAAAAUUGCAACGUCAUUUAAAACAUGUCUUGAACCACGUCACAUAAAUGCAUCCGCGGUCCCCGACAUAUUUUAUCUAACAUUGUUGAGAUUUGGAUUUGAGUCACAUAAAUGCACAACCGAAUUUAGGAAGGUAGAUUAUUAACUAAUGCGCCUAAAAGCAACUACGCAUUUGCACUUUGCGAGGACCAUGGAAUUUGCUAAAUGACACUCCUUGAAUUCUAAGGUUAAGUUAAAGCUAAUUAAAACGAGGGACAUGCAAUUGUCGUUUUAUUUGGUACGGCGCACCUCAAUUUAUCCUUAAAGAAUCGUAUUUUUAUCAUGCAAAUAUUUCCACAAUCAGGAUGUAACUUAUUAAUCUAUCUUGUUCUGAAAACAUAAUUGCUAGAUAUACUAGUACUUUAGUUUGCUCACAUUGUAUAUACUGUAGGCCUUGGCUUUUCUAACGAUUAGAGAAAAAUAAUAAUACAUUUAAUCAUGACCAUGCAUUAUUUAACUAAAUAAUUUUGAACUUUGAUUGAACAUGAACGUGCAUUCCUAGCUAUAUUAUCCAUGGGAAAUGACAAAAGAAUAGCAAGAACUUGGUAAAUUUAACUUCUUCGCCUAAGAAUGACAAAAUUGAAGCUACAUAAGCAAAAGCAUGGUAAUAUUAACAAAACAAUAACCAUUGCAAAGAUACAGAAGCAGUAUUUGAAAGAGCAAUCUGAAAUUUACCAACCUAACACCGGCACCAACGACUGAACAUGGCAGGACUCAACGUCGACUUCCAAACCUUAACGGCAACCUCAAACCCGAAAAUGCGAUGCAACUUUAAUACUGAAAAUCUCUCCGGAAGUCAACGGACCUCUAACUCGUCCGAAACUCGGCGACAAACAGACUGAACCUAAGCUAUUUGUGGCUGCUUUUACUGGUUAUUGGGUCGAUUUUGGAAAAUUUCAUGGCUGUUGCGGGGUGUUGAUUUUGCUUAGGCUGAAAAAGAAGGAGCUGCUCCUUUUUUGGAUCUAGUUUUCGUUCUCUUCCUUCUCUUUUUUUUUUUUUGAAUUUUUCGGAUC
Molecule: long non-coding RNA, 2455 nt
Filed under: Nicotiana benthamiana
Lineage: Eukaryota; Viridiplantae; Streptophyta; Magnoliopsida; Solanales; Solanaceae
Description: long non-coding RNA (NBEN_LNC020773)
Source: RNAcentral